GCUUACGGCCACACCGCCUGGUUCACGCCAGAUCUCGUUUGAUCUCGGAAGCUAAGAUAGGUUGGGCCUGGUUAGUACUUGGAUGGGAGACCGCCUGGGAAUACCAGGUGCUGUAAAAA
This 119-nucleotide ribosomal RNA is filed under the name Scophthalmus maximus (turbot). Lineage: Eukaryota; Metazoa; Chordata; Actinopteri; Pleuronectiformes; Scophthalmidae. The record is from RNAcentral.